Molecule: transfer RNA, 74 nt
Filed under: Marmota monax (woodchuck)
Lineage: Eukaryota; Metazoa; Chordata; Mammalia; Rodentia; Sciuridae
Description: tRNA.Ala
Source: RNAcentral
GGAGUUGUGGCUCAGCAGUAGAGCGCUCAUCUAGCACGUGCAAGGCCCUGGGUUCGAUCCUCAGCACCACACCA